Molecule: ribosomal RNA, 399 nt
Filed under: uncultured bacterium
Lineage: Bacteria
Description: partial 16S ribosomal RNA
Rfam family: Bacterial small subunit ribosomal RNA
Source: RNAcentral
CCUACGGGUGACAGCAGUGAGGAAUAUUGGUCAAUGGCCGAAAGUCUGAACCAGCCAAGUAGCGUGAAGGAUGACUGCCCUAAGGAUUGUAAACUUCUUUUAUCAAGGAAUAAAACGAGGCACGUGUGCCUUUUUGCAUGUACUUUAUGAAUAAGGAUCGGCUAACUCCGUGCCAGCAGCCGCGGUAAUACGGAGGAUCCGAGCGUUAUCCGGAUUUAUUGGGUUUAAAGGGAGCGUAGAUGGGUUGUUAAGUCAGUUGUGAAAGUGUGCGGCUCAACCGGACAAGUGCAAUUGAUACUGGCAGUCUUGAGAACAGGUGAGGUAGGCGGAAUGCGUGGUGUAGCGGUGAAAUGCUUAGAUAUCACGAAGAACCCCGAUUGCGAAGGCAGCUUACUAAAC